This 523-nucleotide ribosomal RNA is filed under the name uncultured bacterium. Its description in RNAcentral is "bacterial SSU rRNA". It matches the Rfam family "Bacterial small subunit ribosomal RNA", at positions 986 to 1509 of the family's 1533-position model. The record is from RNAcentral.
AUACUAAGAACUUUCCAGAGAUGGAUUGGUGCCUUCGGGAACUUAGAUACAGGUGCUGCAUGGCUGUCGUCAGCUCGUGUCGUGAGAUGUUGGGUUAAGUCCGCAACGAGCGCAACCCUUUUCCUUAUUUGCCAGCGGGUAAUGCCGGGAACUUUAAGGAUACUGCCAGUGACAAACUGGAGGAAGGCGGGGACGACGUCAAGUCAUCAUGGCCCUUACGGCCAGGGCUACACACGUGCUACAAUGGUCGGUACAAAGGGUUGCUACCUCGCGAGAGGAUGCUAAUCUCAAAAAGCCGAUCGUAGUCCGGAUCGCAGUCUGCAACUCGACUGCGUGAAGUCGGAAUCGCUAAUAAUCGCGGAUCAGAAUGCCGCGGUGAAUACGUUCCCGGGCCUUGUACACACCGCCCGUCACACCAUGGGAGUUUGUUGCACCAGAAGUAGGUAGUCUAACCGCAAGGAGGACGCUUACCACGGUGUGGCCGAUGACUGGGGUGAAGUCGUAACAAGGUAAGCGUAGAUGA